UACGUAGGGUGCGAGCGUUAAUCGGAAUUACUGGGCGUAAAGCGUGCGCAGGCGGUUCGUUGUGUCGGUGGUGAAAGCCCCGGGCUUAACCUGGGAAUGGCCAUGGAAACUGGCGAACUGGAGUGUGGCAGAGGGGGGUGGAAUUCCGCGUGUAGCAGUGAAAUGCGUAGAGAUGCGGCGGAACACCGAUGGCGAAGGCAGCCCCCUGGGCUGAGAUUGACGCUCAGGCACGAAAGCGUGGGGAGCAAACAGG
This 253-nucleotide ribosomal RNA is filed under the name uncultured bacterium. RNAcentral describes it as "partial 16S ribosomal RNA". It matches the Rfam family "Bacterial small subunit ribosomal RNA", at positions 524 to 776 of the family's 1533-position model. The record is from RNAcentral.